Molecule: non-coding RNA, 1899 nt
Organism: Oryctolagus cuniculus (rabbit)
Lineage: Eukaryota; Metazoa; Chordata; Mammalia; Lagomorpha; Leporidae
Source: RefSeq, a predicted model, not a curated record
AGCACCGCAGAAACAAGGCGCUCAUUGUCAGAGACGGUGGUAGGAGUGGACGGACGAAUUGUCCCAAUGAUUUCGUUACGCAACGAUUAUCCUCUCCUAGAAUAACCCGAGUUUCCGCAAGGAAGAACAGAGGAGUGUAACCCUGAGGAGACUUCAGAGUCAACUACAGCUUAAAGAAUGGCCACCCCCCUCUGCUUGCUUGAUCCUUGGGGACUGAUACCUGCUACAUUGCCUUUUGCAGUUCGAUGAAGAAUAAAAGGCUGUAAAGCCUUGGGGACCAGAGCUACUUUCUUGCCUGGGAAAGUUACAAGAGGAAAACACCAUCGUUCCCAUUUCUUCUGUCUUCUCAAAGUAUGUGCUUUGUUUCUAGAACAACACAGAAAAUACCUUAAUAACUGUAUUAUGUAAUAAGCAAUUAUUAUAAUUUUGCAUAGACAUUCUCAAAGCACUGGGCUCCUUUUGCUCUCCUUUACAAAUGAGCUUGGACCAUGGAGUGGGAACCAUGACAACUCCCAAAUUCAUUUAGCAACAUUGAUCCCAGGCAGGCAAUUAGGCCUUAUGCCAGUGAUGUCUCUCACUGCACUCUGCUCUUACAGCUGAGAGACCUUCCUCCUGCCACCCAGCCCUACCCUAGAUCAGGUCAGGGGGGAUAUUGACUUUUCACAAUGGCCCCACAGUCCUAAAUGUGCCCAGCAGCCAUCAUGUAUUGAGACUUCUGGCAAUGGCUGUUUUGUGUCUUCUCUCCCUUUAGCAUGUUUUAUUUAAAUUUCACAGAUAAUGAAAUAGUCAUAUCCUCCACAGUAAGAUAACUUAUUCGUGAGUAGUGGUUGAAUAUUAACUGUAUUUUCUGAGAUGUCUGAAAGAAAUAUCUAUUUUUUGACUGCAAUUUGGAGGCAGGGGAGUUAUCCAUGGCCAUCUGGGACUGGGGCCAAGGCUUUAACCCUGAAGUUCAUUUCUCAUUGGUAUUGAUGUUCUUCUAUGGGGAGGAAGUUGCCCAGGAGUGAAAACAUGACUCUGCCAAAAUAGAAUUUUAUUUUAAGCUGGCUUAUUUCCUCAUUUAGUGACCUUGCUUAGUUUCUUCCUCCUGCGCCUGUGUCUCUGUCUCUUUAAUCAAUACAGACAUAGCACUUAUUCUGUCUCUGUAUGAUUUGAUAUUUUUGCAAUCUUAAUUGUUAAAGAGACUGGCAGCCUAAACUUUCAGCCUGGAUUUAUUUCUUGUUCCAUUGGUGACUCAUUAACUGAACCUGGAUAGAUUCUUCAUCCUUGGUGCUUUAUGCUUCCCUUCUGUAAAAUGGGAUUAUCAGUGAAACUCUUUUCCUGUCUCAUGGGAAUGCAAGAGGACAUAUUUGUGAGAGAGAUUGGGUGAUUAGAUUUGAUUUUUAUGGAUAUUUAGAUUCCAAAUAGAUGUGUUUGCUCAUUUCUCUGUUACCUCCCUGUUCCUAAGUAGCUUCCCCUCCUUCCACAUCUCCUUGAAUGGGCAACCCUUGAAACCGGGAGGCUGUGCUCCCAUAGCUGAUGCUUGUUGAACCAGGGAAAACAAAAAAUAUAGGGGGAACUCAAUCUAUAAUCUCAUUGGAGCCAGUCAGAUGUCCCCUUUCAGUCCCUACAUAUAGAAACACAAAAAUGGAAGUCAGAAGAGUCCCUGAAAUCAAGGAGAUUUUGGGAAUUUUUGGCUCCAUCCAUAUUGAUGGUCACAAGAAGAAAUUUGGUCUAUUAAAGAAGGCAAGAGAAAUAAUUGAAUGUGUUAGAGAAAGCAGGUAAGUAAGGCACUGCAAAGAGUGGGGCAGGAUCGUGGAGUAAGGGGCUGCCCAAAAUGUUUUGACUUCUGUGAGGACUGGCUCUAUUUUAGGCAUUUUCACGUGGUAAUUCACAUCACAGUCCAGUGAAGUAGGAUGCAUU